CUACCGUUGCCUCAGGAGCUUCAACCAGGAGAGCCAUGCAGUCUUUUCCCUCGGCCUUGUUCACGAUGGCGGAGUCAUCUGCGGUGGCCUGGGAAACAACCAGAUCUCAGUGUGGAGACACUCGGAUGCCACUCACCUUCUCACGUUGAGAAGCAAGCUUCACGCCGGUGCUGUCAAGUCGCUGCUUGUGGCUGGCGACAAGCUCUUCAGCGCUCACCAGGACAAGAAGAUCCGGGUGUGGCGGCUUUCCAAAUCCAACCACACGCAGCACACUCUCGUCGCAACGCUUCCAACUCUCAAGGACCUGGUAGCAGAAUCAACGUCGUCAAGGUUCCCGAGCAAAAAGAACAAGGCCGCAAGAUCAGUCCAACAUACCGACGUAGUGUCCGCGCUAGCACUCGGCGACGGCGUCGUGUACUCGGCCUCCUGGGACAAGACUGUCAAGGUUUGGAGGCUGUCCGAUCUCAAAUGCAUCGAGUCGUUCGUGGCUCACGACGAUGCAGUCAAAGCUCUGGUGGCGAAAGCGGGAUUUCUCUACACAGCCUCUGUAGACUCAAAGAUCAAGAUCUGGAAAAGAGAAGCGAGCGACAAGAAAAGUAGUAAAACUUACCACAGGCACUUGCUGGCCAGAGUUCUUGAGCGUCCAGGCAAUUGCUCCAGCGCAGUGAAUGCAUUGGCACUGGGUGGCGAUGGAGGAGAUGACAAGGUUC
Molecule: long non-coding RNA, 710 nt
Filed under: Selaginella moellendorffii
Lineage: Eukaryota; Viridiplantae; Streptophyta; Lycopodiopsida; Selaginellales; Selaginellaceae
Description: long non-coding RNA (SMOE_LNC002305)
Source: RNAcentral